RNAcentral lists this ribosomal RNA (274 nucleotides) under uncultured bacterium. Its description in RNAcentral is "partial 16S ribosomal RNA". It matches the Rfam family "Bacterial small subunit ribosomal RNA", at positions 523 to 796 of the family's 1533-position model. The record is from RNAcentral.
AUACGGAGGGGGCUAGCGUUGUUCGGAUUUACUGGGCGUAAAGCGCACGUAGGCGGUUUAUCAAGUUAGGCGUGAAAGCCCCGGGCUCAACCCGGGAACUGCGCUUAUUACUGAUAGACUAGAGAGCGGGAGAGGGUAGCGGAAUUCCCAGUGUAGAGGUGAAAUUCGUAGAUAUUGGGAAGAACACCAGUUGCGAAGGCGGCUACCUGGCCCGGUACUGACGCUGAGGUGCGAAAGCGUGGGGAGCAAACAGGAUUAGAUACCCCGGUAGUCC